This is a long non-coding RNA of Triticum aestivum (bread wheat), 1146 nucleotides long. RefSeq lists it as uncharacterized. The transcript has 3 exons. The record is from RefSeq and is a predicted model, not a curated record. NCBI's taxonomy places the organism in Eukaryota, Viridiplantae, Streptophyta, Magnoliopsida, Poales, Poaceae.
UCGACCCUAGGCAUGAGUCGUUCUGCUUCUGCCCAACGAAAUUCAUCUCUGUUCUCACAUACAGCUGCACAGGCAGUUGUCCUUCCACAUUCCUCUCCCCCUCGCACUGUUCCUUUUUAGCGCACCGCCGCAAUGGCGGCCUCUUGCUCCUCCACCCCCAAGCCGUGAACAUGGAUCUUCUUUCCUUAAUCCUAUGACCUCGAUGCGGCAGGCAAGUGUUUAGCCAAAUAUCCGCCGGUGGGAAAAGACCCGGCAAUCAGUACUACAAGUGUAUCCUUUGCAGUUCUGGGCAAUGCUCCAUGAACUCAGGGUGGCCCUUUGUACGAAGCAGGUGCUUACCGAGUAGAAGAGGUGGAGAAGAAUGUGAUGUACAGAGCAACGCACACUCGAGCGGAGCGCAGGCUCGUUGACCUGUCCCGCAGCGGCCGAGACAGCCACAUCGUCGUCUUCGUGACCGGGACACCAGCCCAUGCGGAGGUGCGGUACGCGAUGUCGAUGCAGUGUAGAGAAAGACCAGAGCAGGACUCCUGACUGUUGCUUCACGGUUCGCUUGUUGUUGCCUUGGCCAUGUGAAUCCCAAUUUUCUUGCAAUAAGAUAGGGGUUCUGGAAAACCCAGUAGUUCUUCUAUUUCUGCUAGCUAAACUUGCUCCAUUCUCCUGACAGUAGGAAAUCUAUUUUGGGCUGGUCUCGCUGUCUAAAAUUCAGAAACUGCUUGAACAAAGAUGCAGUUAAUGUGUUUGGGCUCCUAUUAUGUUGCCAACUGCGUUUACCUUAGAUUAAGCGUCGUACACAUAUGCGAUGAUUGUUUUGCAGUGAGUAGAGGAAUUGAGUUUAGCUGUGACACUUAAAGUUUCAGUCAUAUCCUAUAGCAGAGAAUGAAUUUGUGUUUCUGCAUAACUCUCAACAUGCUGCACUUUCCCACGCGCCAGGUGGCAUUUGGGAAACUGAUGUACGAAAUGCAGCUAUAAUGGUGAAAAAUUACCACCAAUUCUCAUGUUGAUUUACUGAAUUUUCAUGUGUUGUACAUAUAUCCAGUUCAAUAUAAUUGUUCUAUGUUUGUAAUUCUAAACGAGCCUUACUGUUUGCUCUUUGCUCCAGGAAAUUGCUAGUACUAAACCAGGUACUUGCUUAUGUUGUUCAUUCGU